UGGGGAAUAUUGGACAAUGGGGGCAACCCUGAUCCAGCCAUGCCGCGUGAGUGAUGAAGGCCCUAGGGUUGUAAAGCUCUUUUGUGCGGGAAGAUAAUGACGGUACCGCAAGAAUAAGCCCCGGCUAACUUCGUGCCAGCAGCCGCGGUAAUACGAAGGGGGCUAGCGUUGCUCGGAAUCACUGGGCGUAAAGGGUGCGUAGGCGGGUUUCUAAGUCAGAGGUGAAAGCCUGGAGCUCAACUCCAGAACUGCCUUUGAUACUGGAAGUCUUGAGUAUGGCAGAGGUGAGUGGAACUGCGAGUGUAGAGGUGAAAUUCGUAGAUAUUCGCAAGAACACCAGUGGCGAAGGCGGCUCACUGGGCCAUUACUGACGCUGAGGCACGAAGCGUGGGGAGCAAACAGGAUUAGAUACCCUGGUAGUCCACGCCGUAACGAUGAAUGCCAGCCGUUAGUGGGUUUUACUCACUAGUGGCGCAGCUAACGCUUUAAGCAUUCCGCCUGGGGAGUACGGUCGCAAGAUUAAA
This 524-nucleotide ribosomal RNA is filed under the name uncultured bacterium. Its description in RNAcentral is "partial 16S ribosomal RNA". It matches the Rfam family "Bacterial small subunit ribosomal RNA", at positions 355 to 898 of the family's 1533-position model. The record is from RNAcentral.